This 468-nucleotide ribosomal RNA is filed under the name uncultured bacterium. RNAcentral's name for it is "partial 16S ribosomal RNA". It matches the Rfam family "Bacterial small subunit ribosomal RNA", at positions 28 to 507 of the family's 1533-position model. The record is from RNAcentral.
GACGAACGCUGGCGGCGUGCUUAACACAUGCAAGUCGAACGGAAAGGCCCUGCUUUUGUGGGGUGCUCGAGUGGCGAACGGGUGAGUAACACGUGAGUAACCUGCCCUUGACUUUGGGAUAACUUCAGGAAACUGGGGCUAAUACCGGAUAGGAGCUCCUGCUGCAUGGUGGGGGUUGGAAAGUUUCGGCGGUUGGGGAUGGACUCGCGGCUUAUCAGCUUGUUGGUGGGGUAGUGGCUUACCAAGGCUUUGACGGGUAGCCGGCCUGAGAGGGUGACCGGCCACGUUGGGACUGAGGUACGACCCAGACUCCUACGGGAGGCAGCAGUGGGGAAUAUUGCACAAUGGGCGGAAGCCUGAUGCAGCAACGCCGCGUGCGGGAUGACGGCCUUCGGGUUGUAAACCGCUUUCGCCUGUGACGAAGCGUGAGUGACGGUAAUGGGUAAAGAAGCACCGGCUAACUACGUG